GCUGUGCCUGCGCAGCCCCCCGGCUUCUCCGGUUUCUCUUAGAAAAUCCCCAAGUGCAUCUCAGCUGGGUGACAAUGAGAGCGUCCAGGCCUGCGGAACAGCGAAAGCUUCUAACUCCAUUCAGGUCCCGCCAGCUCCAGCUUUUCCUGCCGGGGCCUCUGCAGGUCAACAACCAUACGGUCUGGAAAUACAGUUGGCCCUUGAACAACACGGGUUUGAACUGCACAGGCCCAGUUACGUGUGGUUUCUCCUCCGCCUCUGCCGCCCAAGACAGCCCGACCACCCUCCUCCUCCUCCGCCUCAGCCUGCUCAGCAUGGAGACGACGGGGAUGAAGACCUUCCUGAGGCUCCACUUCCACUUAAUGGAUAGUAAAUAUAUUUUCUUUUCCUUA
Long non-coding RNA from Lemur catta (Ring-tailed lemur), 392 nucleotides. RefSeq lists it as uncharacterized. The record is from RefSeq and is a predicted model, not a curated record. Lineage: Eukaryota; Metazoa; Chordata; Mammalia; Primates; Lemuridae. The transcript has 2 exons.